AUGCCAGGUCAUAGUGAGCUUGGCCUUGGGAAGAAAGAUUACUCUCCCGAACUCUCACUGUUUUAUGGAGAAGUUACGAUCAUGAAGGCCUUGGGUAAACUGCCACAUGAUCUCCAGUGCCACUUCCCAUUUGUUAUUCGGACAAUAAAACGAUAUAACUCCACGCAUGACCUUGGUCCAUGCUUGCUAGGUGCUCCAAGGGAGUUAACUGGAAUCAGCAGUGGCCUCCCUGAAUUCCGUGGAAAAGACCAGAUGCAUAUGCUUCUGCUAUUACGGUGCUCAGUGUUUGGAAAGGAGCAGUUUUGCAUUGUUAUGCAAACACCAAGGUUUGCAACGUGACCAGAUUUAUUUAUGGCCUCUGGAGAGAUGUACUACUUCUAGUGCUGACAGAGGUCAGGUCUUCCAGGAUCCUGGCAGCUGCUGAGCAAGUGAGGAAACAAAGAGCCCCCCAGUGUGGUGGGUGAGCGUCAGAGCCGGAAAUCCAGGGAGGGCAUGACAUUGAGCCUUCCAACAUCCAAUCUUUCCAACGUCUUCACAGCCGGAUCUCCUUGUCAGAGCUCUGGAAGAAUGGUAUUUUGUUUCCUCCCCUCCAUUGGCAAGCGAGUCCCAGGCAUCCAAAUGCAGCAAGACAGGACACAUCUUGUAAAGAUUUGCUGCUUAAGUGCUGAACAUGUUCAGACAAGAUGGAAGAAAUUGUUCAAAAAGGGAGAUGGGAAGAAAAAAAAUUCUCUGAAGAUGGAGGAGUAUCCAUGUCAGGAUGAAGAAAUUGGCAAGUGGAUAAAUGUAACAAAACAGAAAAAGAGAAGGAAAGAAAAUUCACUAGGGUAG
This 828-nucleotide long non-coding RNA is filed under the name Felis catus (domestic cat). RNAcentral describes it as "lncRNA (ENSFCAG00000041268.2)". The record is from RNAcentral. Lineage: Eukaryota; Metazoa; Chordata; Mammalia; Carnivora; Felidae.